This 102-nucleotide microRNA precursor is filed under the name Marmota monax (woodchuck). The record is from RNAcentral. Lineage: Eukaryota; Metazoa; Chordata; Mammalia; Rodentia; Sciuridae.
AUGCCAGUCACCUGGGAUCUUGUUAAAACCCAGAUUCUGACUCAGUACAUCUGGAGUGGCCUGAAAAUCUGCAUUUCUAACAAGUGAGGAGGUGAUAUAAAU